This 4897-nucleotide long non-coding RNA is filed under the name Homo sapiens (human). RNAcentral's name for it is "non-protein coding lnc-HSPA12A-1:14". The record is from RNAcentral. Lineage: Eukaryota; Metazoa; Chordata; Mammalia; Primates; Hominidae.
GUAGAAGGUGGAGUUGAGCAGCUCUUCCAGCCUGCGCGGAACGUCGUUCUCCCGGUAGUACUCCAUCGCCUGCUGCUUCAGCUUCUGCAGCUCCCUAGUGGUCCCACAGCUGCGGCCGCCGCCUUCUUCCUCCAUGAUGAAAACAUCUGAGACUCAGGGCUAAGCACCUUGCCCAAGGCCACACAACAAGUAGGUGAUGGAGAGUGUUGGCGUGUACGGAUUCUGUGGGUGUAAAGCAAAGAACAAAAUGAAGUGUGAUUCAAGGUGGGAAAUAGCCGCUUCAGCUCCCCCAGGCUGCAGCAGCUACCACACAAAGAAGCAGUCCUAUGGCAAUGACAGGACAUCUGUGUCCAGGAUUUGGAUUUGACGAACUGGCAGUUCCUGCAGGGAUGACGGUACUCCCUAGUUGUGUCUGAAUUGGACGCACCAGCACUUGAGCACACACAAACGCACGUGAACAGACGGAACAUGUUAUGGGCCUGUUAGCCAAGGAAUGACAGAAUUAAUCCAUGGGCAUUUGCGGCCAGUGUUGUGUUAAACUAAAGGGAAAAAGUGAACUGGAAAAAGCAAUGUUUGUUUUAUGAAAAUCUCAGACCCAAUCCUUAGGUGACAGUUCUGGAAAUGAGGGGUGUCUAAAACAAAGGGCAUCUGAAACUUCGGUUUUUCAGCUUCCUUUCCUUGUCUCAUGACCUCUUUCCUACCCGCUGCCUCUGUUUUCUCUAAUAUGGAACAGUGAAAAUGGGGGCCAGCAAAACAGAUUGCUGAUGUCUGUUGAUUUUAUCAAAGGAAGGUUAGAUUGAGUAAGAUGGCAUAAAUAAGCACACAUAGGACAAUACCUGGCAUAUAUCAGGUGCUCAAUAGCAGUGAAUUCUCUCCCUGCUGUCAUGAAUUCUUGAAGGUUGGAGACCAUGCGCUGUUCUGCGUGCCAAGUUAUUUUUUCGGCCUGAUAGCAGGUGAGCUACUGAGUGAAGACAGAGACUGGACGCUAAUUCAGCUCUGAAUCUUCAGCACCUGGCAUGGAAGGUGCACAGGACAUAUUUGAAAAAGGAGAAUUAAUAGAAUUGACCAAUAGGCUGACCUCCUGAAUGAUGACUGAGCAAAUUGAUCUAGAGGUAUUCAAAACAGUUUAGUUGACUGUCCCAAACUUUCUCAGACCUCUUCUGCCACUGACUUCCCUGAAAAGACCCUUUGCAGCCAGGCACGGUGGCUCAUGCCUGUAAUCCCAGCAUGUUGGGAGGCUGAGGUGGGCGGAUCACGAGGUCAAGAGAUUGAGACCAUCCUGGCCAACGUGGUGAAACCUCGUCUCUACUAAAAGUACAAAAAUUAGCUGGGUGUGGUGGCACGUGCUUGUAGUCCCAGCUAGUUGGGAGGCUGAGGCAGGAGAAUCGCUUGAACUGGGGAGGCGGAGGUUGUAGUGAACCAAGAUCAUGUCACUGCACUCCAGCCUGGCAAUAGAGCGAGACUCUGUCUCAAAAAAAAACCAAAAAAACAAAAUCAACCCUUUUGCAUUUUUGUCCUAUCCUGUUUUCCGUCCCCUUGAGACCGUAUCACACGUUCUUUUUCCUCUUUGGUGACCUUCUUUGUCUUUCUUGCUGCUCCUGUACACUGUUGUUUACUCACACUGCUUUUAUUCUGAGCUCUCAUAUCUCUUCUAUUUCUGGUUCUGACGCCUAUCUUGUCUAUGCCUCGCACACUCACCUCCGACUCGGAGUCCUGACCUGCACAGCUGCGAUUGCGGUUUGCACACUUUGAGGGUGAACAGUUGUCAUGCAGCCCUUUUGAGUGCUAAAAAGUGACCACUUAAGAUUUUCCUCGUGGUUAGGAAGAUGAGUAUUUUAAAAUCAUUCUGGAGGAGAUUAGUGGUAAAGAAAACCUUCCUCAGCAACUAAAUCAUUGUGGAAAAAUAAGCCAAUUAGUCACUAAAACAAAAACCUUUUGAAGACUUGUGAACAGAGGAAAGAACAUGUGAAUUACAGGUUUUCUGUUUUGUGGCAUUGAUAGACUCCAGUAGUAUUCAUGAUCGCUGAUCAUCGCGAUGGGGACCCCGGAAAGGUGAAAUUAUGUUCAGUUGAAUAUUACCUAACCCUUCUCAAAGGACAAUUUGAUUUUGUUAUUCCAUUGUUAAGGGCUUUUUGGUGGCCCUUCGAGAUCUGGCUCUGGCUUCUCUUUGACCUUGAACCCUCACUCUGGUUGUGCUGAUCUGCUGACCGUCCUCCGGACACGGUAGGGUGCUCCAUGCCACAGGGCCUUUGAACAAACCUUUCUUAUCCUUGGAAUAAAUGCCUUUUCUUCCUUUUGUUCCCCUGCCAAACACAUGCUAUUAGGAAAGAUUCAACCCCAUGUCAUCACCUCCACAAAGCUUCUCCUGACACCUCCCAAGUUAGAUUGACCUUUUUCUCUUUUGUGUCCCCCACUGUCGAACUUGAUGUUCUUGUCAAUGACAACAAUAGUGGUAACAAUGAUGGUUUCCUUUCAUUGAGUGCCUUUUGGUUCCAGUAAGUGUAAGUGCUUUCACUUGUUAUAUCAUUUAAGCCCUGCCACCCUAUGAAGAGGCCACUAUUAUACAUACAGUCAUGCAUUGCUUUAUGACAGGGAUAUGUUCUGAGAAAUGCAUUAUUAGGCAAUUUCAUCAUUGUGUGAACAUCAUAGAAUGUACUUCCACAAACCUAGAUGAUAUAGCCUGCCUCACAACUAAGCUAUUAUAUGCAGGACAGUCUGCUGCUAGCUGCUUCUAAGCUACAGACCAUAUAUAUGUAUAUAUGUACAUAUCCUCUCCCUGCCCCUCUUGCUCUUUAUAUAUAUAUGCAUAUACCUAUAAUAUAUGCAUAUUUAGAUAGGCUUUUAUAUGUAUAUUGUAUAUAUGUACAUAUAUACAUUUAUUUUUUGAGACAGGGUCUUGCUCUGUCUCCCAUGCUGGAGUGCAGUGGUAUGAUCACGGCUCACUGCAGCCAUGACCUCCCAGGCUCGAGGGAUCCUCCCAGCUCAGCCUCCCAAGUAGGUGGGACUACAGGCAUGCACCACCACAUCUGGCUAAUUUUUGAAUUUUUUUUUGUAGAGAUGGGGUUUCACCAUGUUGCCCGGUUCUCAAACUCCUAGGCUCGAGUAAUCCACCCAACUUUGCUCCCAAAGUGGUGGGAUUAUAGGUGUGAGCCACCGCAACCAGCCCAUAUAUGCAUAUUUAAUAUACAUGUGUAGCAUAUACAUACACAUAUACACAUCUAUGCAUAUAAAUUAACAAUAUGUAUAUAUGUGCAUAAAUUCACAUAUAUUUUCUGUAUAAAGACAGCAAGAGAGGCAGGCGGAGAAAGAAUCAGUUGCAGUCUGGAGGAAUAUACGUGUGUUACAUGGUUUCCCUGCCUUUAAAUUCUCUGUUAAUCUGUAUUCCUUGUAAAGUAGAUGACAGCAUGUAUCUUGGCCUACAUGUUUCUAAAGACAAACCUCUAAGCUCUUGAAGUUCUGCCAUGGUGUAUCAUAGUACAUUGAAGUCAGAAAGCCCAUUAGAGGAGGAGGAUGCCUGGCUAGAAUAGUGUUCUUGAGUUUUUCCAUGUGUAUUGUCUCAGGUAGGAAGAUGACAAGUCCUACUUUGUUCUUGUGUGAUUCCCCAUCAUUCAGUCUGUGGAGGCUGAGCUUGUUAAUGGUGGUGAACACGAGUUUCGUUCUUUGCCAGGAGUGCCCACCAGUGCCCAUAACGCCCUCCCGGAAUGUGCCGGGCAGUAUGUUUAGGGUAAGACUGACUAACGACCCAACACUGACAACGGCCUUAGCACAAACCCAAAAGGCUCUGCUAGAGCUCAGAGGCAGCCACGAGAUUGGGAGAGCUGGAUGACGGUUUGCUAAGAGAAUUCAAGCUGUCAGUCCUCCUGUGUAUCCUUUGGAUUCUGUUAUGCUGUUGCUUGUAGAGGGAAAAAGUUCAUGUGUCAUUUAUAUACAAGUGCCCAUUUGACAUUGAGUGAGUCACAUUUAUUUUACCCUAUAUGAACACAAAAUCUCUGUUUUAAAAUCAGAUUCUAGAACUUUAAAAGGGUUCUUAUGUAUUGUUCUGAAGUAACUCAGUGGCUCUUGGUGAGCCCGCCCCACCUGGCCUGUUGGGUGACCCUCUUCCUGCCCCCUCACCGGUUCUGCUCCUUGUUCCUCUCUCUGCGCCUUGGCUCCCCUUCCCAGAGCCCUUCCUCUUGGUCUUGCCAAAUCCUGCCCAUCCUUUGAGAAACGCUUAUGCCCAUGGCUGUCUUACCCCUUCCUGCUUUGCUGUGGUAUCCAUUAGUCUGUUCUCGCGCUGCUAAUAAAGACAUACAAAAGACUGGGUAAUUUAUAAAGGAAAGAGGUUUAAUGGACUCACAUUUCCACAUGGCUGGGGAGGCCUCACAAUCAUGGUGGAAGAUGAAGGAAGAGCAAAGGGACUUUUUAUGUGGCGGCAGGAAAGAGAGCUUGUGCAGGGAAACUCCCAUUUAUAAAACUGUCAGAUCUCAUGAGACUUAUUCACUACCAUGGGAACAGUAUGGGGGAAACUGCCCCCAUGAUUCAAUUAUCUCCACCUGGCCCUGCCCUUGACACGUGGGGGUUAUUACAAUUCAAGGUGAGAUUUGGGUGGGGACACAGCCAAAAUAUAUCUGGCAUAUGCAAUCUGAUCACCCCUUCCAAACUUCUCUCUUAAAAAUGCAACAUUCUGACAGCAUGUGGAGGCUUGGAUGGAAACACGGUAAAAAUUACAACAUUGUUUCUCACACUUUUGCACCAAAGUGAUACAAAUCGCAGAGCUGAGGCAACUGGUGUUUCUGCGAGAAUGGAAUGGAAUGUGGUUGAAAUUUUGUGUUGUUUUUUAAAUAUUUGCAACUAUUUGUCAUUCUUCCAUAAAAAUCAGAAUUCAUGGUUGUGUACAUAAAAGUAAUUUUCUAAAGUG